GACGAACGCUGGCGGCGUGCUUAACACAUGCCAGUCGAACGGAAAGGCCCUGCUUUCGUGGGGUGCUCGAGUGGCGAACGGGUGAGUAACACGUGAGUAACCUGCCCUUGACUUUGGGAUAACUUCAGGCAACUGGGGCUAAUACCGGAUAGGAGCUCCUGCUGCAUGGUGGGGGUUGGAAAGCUUCGGCGGUUGGGGAUGGACUCGCGGCUUAUCAGCUUGUUGGUGGGGUAGUGGCUUACCCAGGCAUUGACGGGUAGCCGGCCUGAGAGGGUGACCGGCCACAUUGGGACUGAGAGACGGCCCAGAGUCCUACGGGAGGCAGCAGUGGGGAAUAUUGCACAAUGGGCGGAAGCCUGAUGCAGCAACGCCGCGUGCGGGAUGACGGCCUUCGGGUUGUAAACCGCUUUCGCCUGUGACGAAGCGUGAGUGACGGUAAUGGGUAAAGAAGCACCGGCUAACUACGUG
This 468-nucleotide ribosomal RNA is filed under the name uncultured bacterium. Its description in RNAcentral is "partial 16S ribosomal RNA". It matches the Rfam family "Bacterial small subunit ribosomal RNA", at positions 28 to 507 of the family's 1533-position model. The record is from RNAcentral.